Molecule: ribosomal RNA, 240 nt
Filed under: Butyrivibrio fibrisolvens
Lineage: Bacteria; Bacillati; Bacillota; Clostridia; Lachnospirales; Lachnospiraceae
Description: partial 16S ribosomal RNA
Rfam family: Bacterial small subunit ribosomal RNA
Source: RNAcentral
CCUGAUGCAGCGACGCCGCGUGAGUGAAGAAGUAUUUCGGUAUGUAAAGCUCUAUCAGCAGGGAAGAAAGACCUCGUAAGAGGGGAUGUUGGUACCUGAGUAAGAAGCCCCGGCUAACUACGUGCCAGCAGCCGAAUUAAUACGUAGGGGGCAAGCGUUAUCCGGAUUUACUGGGUGUAAAGGGAGCGUAGACGGUGUAUCAAGUCUGAAGUGAAACGGGACGGCUCAACCGUGGGCUUG